AGACUCCUCAAAUUGUUCAUCUCUCGGAACGUAUGUUGGAUUUGGCUUCUCCACACGACUCUCCGCACUUAUAUCUGUGUCUGUAGGAACACGGCCAGAACGACAACGUCUAGGGUAAGCAACAUUGCCUUCUCCUCCAAGUUUAGGACGAGCAAAAUCAAUGCCUCUAUCUGGAUUUCCAAGAUCAUUAUAGAUGUCAUAAUCAUAUAUUCUAUCAGAUAAUUUUCUGACGCCUUUUCCAUCGCCUCUCAAUUCUCUUAGCUCCCUCUCUCUUAAUGAUUUCAGUCCUGCUGGUGUUUCAUCCGGUAAAUAUGGCUGAUUAGAGAAAAAUAUUCUUUUUCCAGGAUGAUCUUUUUUGGGUUGAACCCAUGAAUUGCAGGGGAAAUGAACCGGACCACAUGCAAACCCCUCAAUUGUAAUACUCUCCAGAAAGAACUCCUGCUGGUGCUUGUUCGUCACAGUGAUCGCGCCUGGAUUCCCGAAAUUCGAGUCCACAAUGAAUUCUGCUGUGUAAUUUACUCGCUCUGUUUUCAAGUUCGAUUUCUUAGACCAGUCUUUUAACACUGCUUGGUUGCUUUUCUUCGGUCCUUUUGUAUCUGGAUCGAUGUCGGUGCUGAUGAGUUCUAGCGCGACAUUCCUCCCGAUUUUGUCGGUGAAAGCAUCAAGAUGCUUCACAAUUGUCUCCUUUAGAUCUUCCUUGUUCUUGUUCCUUACUGUAACUACAGCUCUCACUUUGAAUUUCACUGCUUUUUCAGGCACAACUUUGACCAAAUUUUCACUUAUAGCUGCCAUGGUACUCUGUCUGUACGCUUUUCUUCUACUUAAAUUCCUCCUUCCUUGAAACUGCUGGUUAAACCAAAGAUGAUUUUCUUUGUGAUAAUUAUUGGGAUUCAAAAGUGCCAUUGAUGAUGAUUUCUCCAGCAGGGAAAUACCCAUAAUUUCUUUAGCAAGUG
Molecule: unclassified non-coding RNA, 953 nt
Filed under: Hevea brasiliensis (rubber tree)
Lineage: Eukaryota; Viridiplantae; Streptophyta; Magnoliopsida; Malpighiales; Euphorbiaceae
Source: RNAcentral